RNAcentral lists this ribosomal RNA (366 nucleotides) under uncultured marine eukaryote. RNAcentral describes it as "SSU rRNA". It matches the Rfam family "Eukaryotic small subunit ribosomal RNA", at positions 1 to 371 of the family's 1831-position model. The record is from RNAcentral.
AACCUGGUUGAUCCUGCCAGUAGUCAUAUGCUUGUCUCAAAGACUAAGCCAUGCAUGUCUAAGUAUAAAUGCUAUACAAUGAAACUGCGAAUGGCUCAUUAAAACAGUUAUAGUUUAUAUGGUAAUCGAAUUUACAUGGAUAACCGUGGUAAUUCUAGACGCUAAUACAUGCUGUUAAGCCCAACUUAUGGAAGGGCCGUAUUUAUUAGAUAACAGACCAAUAUUCUUCGUGUCUAUUGUGGUGAAUCAUAGUAACUAAUCGGAUCGUAUGGGCUAGUCCCUCGACAAACCAUUCAAGUUUCUGCCCCAUCAGCUUUCGAUGGUAGUGUAUUGGACUACCAUGGCUUUCACGGGUAACGGAGGAUU